Molecule: ribosomal RNA, 250 nt
Filed under: uncultured bacterium
Lineage: Bacteria
Description: partial 16S ribosomal RNA
Rfam family: Bacterial small subunit ribosomal RNA
Source: RNAcentral
UAGAUACCCUGGUAGUCCACGCCCUAAACGAUGUCAACUAGGCGUCGGGUUGUAUAGACUCGGUGCCGCAGCUAACGCAUUAAGUUGACCGCCUGGGGAGUACGGCCGCAAGGUUGAAACUCAAAGAAAUUGACGGGGACCCGCACAAGCGGUGGAGCAUGUGGUUUAAUUCGAUGCAACGCGAAGAACCUUACCAGCUGACAUCCAGAGAACUUAGCAGAGAUGCUUUGGUGCCUUCGGGAACUCUGAG